This is a non-coding RNA of Malus domestica (apple), 2376 nucleotides long. The record is from RefSeq and is a predicted model, not a curated record. Lineage: Eukaryota; Viridiplantae; Streptophyta; Magnoliopsida; Rosales; Rosaceae.
CUUAUCAGCUUUUCCUUAUUUUGUUUGACUCCUGCUCUCCCCGUCUCCUCCUCGCCUCACUCUUCUCCUGCACCAAGCAGCUCGAUUUAGGGCUUCACCAUUUCUCUUCUAAUCAAGUUCUCUAUUUCUCUCCCUAUAUUCUGAAUCUAGGUCUCCUCUCGGCGCCUCCACCUAAGCCCCUCUGCAAAAGGAAGCUAGGAGGUGCAGCAACUGGAAGUCGGAUUUCACUCACGUCGCUGCAAUUAGAUCAAGUUCUGGCUGAUUUGAUCUGAGCACGCACAUAUUGUUUUUCGUGGUUUUUUCCUCCUCCCCUCCUAGAAAUUUGACCUCAUCGUCCAAGUAUAAAUGCUGAUGUGGAGCUACUUAAACAAGGUCCCUUUUCAGUUAUUAAAACUCAAUGUUACCUGUUUUCAUUUCCAGUUCUUAAGUCUUCUAUUUGUUUGCUUGCUGCAAUUAUUCAACUUAUGCCGCUAUAAUAUUUGUUUCCUUCUGUUUUGUCAUCUAUAUUAAUUACCAUUUAGAUCAUGUGAAUGACUACUUUCAUGUAUAUUUCGAAUAAUGAGCAGUUUAUUGCUGUUAAUCUUUUGAUCAUUGUAUAUGUUGCUAAUAUACCUUCUCAAAUAACUUACAUGUAAACAUUGAUAUAUAAAACUUAUUUAUAUGUUAAUAGUAUGGUUUCUUUACUUUUGAGAUUGGUUGAACAACAACAUUUUCUACUUUCUAGAGUUCAUCCUCUUUAUUUUAGCCCAGGCCGACUCACUGCAUCAUGCUCGAAGCUCUUCAACUUUUUCACACAAAUUGCUCAAACAUUCCUGCUCUCAAACAUCUUAGAUCCCUCAUUCAACCUUCUGGCAUCAACGCCCCAAAGGUAUAUUUCUCUCAUUGCUUUCAGAAUUCAGUGUGUGUGUAUAUAUCAAUGUAUUAAAAGCGUGAGGCGUGGGUGAGGUGUCCGAGACGAAGCCCGGCCUAGGCGUGAGGCGAAGCCUCACGGGAUUUAAUUUUAUAUACAUAUACAUGUUUUAUAUAUUAUACAUAUAAUUGUAUAAAAAUAAUACUAUGUAAAAUAAACAUCCAUUCUCAAUUUUUCAUUCAAAUCCAUAGUCAUUCAAAAGAUAAUAUCAUCUAAAUUCAUCAUUCAAAGGUAAUAUCAUCCAAAUUCAUCAUUCAAAAGGUAAUACAAACAAAGAAAACAAUGAACAUUCGAUGCAUGCAUACAGUUAAUGAACCAACAAUUUAUUAAUUAAUUUAUAUACCAACAAUUUCCAACAAUUUAUUAAUUAAUUUAUAUACCCCUGUAGUCCCGACUACUUAGGCCUAACAAUUUCCAACCUACUAGCACCUUCCACUAAAUUUAUAGCCUAACCUUCCCCAGAAAAUGCAGAGGCAGAUCAAUAAAUUUAUAGCCUAAACAAGGCAGCGCGCAGAGGCAGCACAUAGAGGUAGAUUAAUAACUUUUCUGUCUAACUAUUAACCCCUCUAUUAUAGCAAAACCUUCCCCAGAAAACUAAAUCCCUAAUUUCAGAAUUUCAAAAACCCUAACCCUUGGGAUCUUGCUGACGACGCUGGGGCUGGUGUGACGGCGCUGAGGUGAUGGCGGUGUGGCGACGAUGUUGCUCCAAGCGGCGGCGUGGCGACCAAACAGGUGUUCUGGGCUUCUGGGCUUCUGGCGCGCGGGAGAAGGCAGAAGGCAGAGGUAGACAAAGGCGUUCGAAUUCGAAGAUGUUACAGUAACAACUACAAAUACAAGUUGAGAGAAAGAUCAUAUUCCUUUUGUGGUGCAGCUGGAGUUUGUUAUCGUAAGUGGUGCUUUUAGUUGUAUGGCCAUAUGAAGCUGCAGAUGCAAAUAUUUCUUAAGGUACAUGAUGAUCCUUCUAACGCUCCAGUUUGAUGGUCCAACUCAAUGGGUGAGUAAUGCCGUUUACAAAAACCAGUGUUAUAAAAAACUCGCCUCGGGGCGUGCCUAAGCGGCCUUGGAGGCGGGACGGCAACAAUUUUGCCUCUGUUUUCUGGGAGUGGGCAGAAACUCACCUAGACUUCGUCAGAGUGCGCCUGAGGCGUUUGACUGGGCGUUCCUAGUACCCUUCAGCAACCCAAAUCUUGCUUGAAAUUUGAAGUUUUCUGGAAACCUAGUUUUGUUUCUGGGUUGCAGCGGUGUCUUCACAAAGAAGACGAUCGCCCGAAGAAGAAGAACGAUUGUUUUUUUUAUUUUUUUAUAAAGUCUUGGCCCUAAACGAUACCGUUUUGGCCAAGCCUUUUAAUGUUUUGGGUAAAAUAUUGUUUACUACCCUCAUGUUUCGUGGUUUUCAACAUUUAGUACAUCAAGUUUUUUUCGUCUCAGAGUCAUACCCAAAGUGUAAAUUUUGGGACAGUCUCAUA